CUACGGGGGGCUCCAGUGGGGAAUAUUGCACAAUGGGCGCAAGCCUGAUGCAGCAACGCCGCGUGAACGAUGAAGGUCUUCGGAUCGUAAAGUUCUUUUCUUAGGGAAGAAAAAUGACGGUACCUAAGGAAUAAGCACCGGCUAAAUACGUGCCAGCAGCCGCGGUAAUACGUAUGGUGCAAGCGUUAUCCGGAAUCACGGGGCGUAAAGGGAGCGUAGGCGGUUUUGCAAGUCAGAAGUGAAAGGCUACGGCUCAACCGUGGUAAGCUUUUGAAACUGCAAGACUAGAGUGCAGGAGAGGCAAGUGGAAUUCCUAGUGUAGAGGUGAAAUUCGUAGAUAUUAGGAGGAACACCAGUGGCGAAGGCGACUUGCUGGACUGUAACUUACGCUGAGGCUCGAAAGCGUGGGGAGCGAACAGGAUUAGAUACCCCGGUAGUC
This 439-nucleotide ribosomal RNA is filed under the name uncultured bacterium. Its description in RNAcentral is "partial 16S ribosomal RNA". It matches the Rfam family "Bacterial small subunit ribosomal RNA", at positions 339 to 795 of the family's 1533-position model. The record is from RNAcentral.